RNAcentral lists this ribosomal RNA (253 nucleotides) under uncultured bacterium. RNAcentral describes it as "partial 16S ribosomal RNA". It matches the Rfam family "Bacterial small subunit ribosomal RNA", at positions 524 to 776 of the family's 1533-position model. The record is from RNAcentral.
UACAGAGGUCUCAAGCGUUGUUCGGAUUCAUUGGGCGUAAAGGGUGUGUAGGUGGCGCCGUAAGUCGGGUGUGAAAUUUCGGAGCUUAACUCCGAAACUGCAUUCGAUACUGCGGUGCUUGAGGACUGGGGAGGAGACUGGAAUUCAUGGUGUAGCAGUGAAAUGCGUAGAGAUCAUGAGGAAGACCAGUGGCGAAGGCGGGUCUCUGGACAGUUCCUGACACUGAGACACGAAGGCCAGGGGAGCAAACGGG